This 2091-nucleotide ribosomal RNA is filed under the name Phacidiopycnis sp. ZLY-2010b. RNAcentral's name for it is "eukaryotic LSU rRNA". The stretch from base 248 to 2091 matches the Rfam family "Eukaryotic large subunit ribosomal RNA", at positions 1 to 1435 of the family's 3401-position model. Lineage: Eukaryota; Fungi; Ascomycota; Leotiomycetes; Phacidiales; Phacidiaceae. The record is from RNAcentral.
GGGGGAAAAUUGUGAUUGCAGAAUUCAGUGAUCAUCGAAUCUUUGAACGCACAUUGCGCCCCCUGGUAUUCCGGGGGGCAUGCCUGUUCGAGCGUCAUUACAACCCUCAAGCUCUGCUUGGUAUUGGGUGUCACCCCCGGGUGCGCCUUAAAAUCAGUGGCGGUGCCGUCUGGCUUCAAGCGUAGUAAUACUUCUCGCUUUGGAGUCCGGGCGAGCGUCCUGCCAAAACCCCCAUAUUUUUUUAGGUUGACCUCGGAUCAGGUAGGGAUACCCGCUGAACUUAAGCAUAUCAAUAAGCGGAGGAAAAGAAACCAACAGGGAUUGCCUCAGUAACGGCGAGUGAAGCGGCAACAGCUCAAAUUUGAAAUCUGGCCCUUUCAGGGUCCGAGUUGUAAUUUGUAGAGGAUGUUUCGGGUGUGGCUCCGGUCUAAGUUCCUUGGAACAGGACGUCAUAGAGGGUGAGAAUCCCGUAUGUGACUGGUAGCCUAUGCCCAUGUGAAACUCCUUCGACGAGUCGAGUUGUUUGGGAAUGCAGCUCAAAAUGGGUGGUAAAUUUCAUCUAAAGCUAAAUAUUGGCCAGAGACCGAUAGCGCACAAGUAGAGUGAUCGAAAGAUGAAAAGCACUUUGGAAAGAGAGUUAAACAGUACGUGAAAUUGUUGAAAGGGAAGCGCUUGCAACCAGACUUGCAUGUAGCUGAUCAUCCGGUGUUCUCACCGGUGCACUCAGUUGCGUUCAGGCCAGCAUCGGUUUCGACGGUUGGAUAAAGGCCUUGGGAAUGUAGCUUCUUUCGGGGAGUGUUAUAGCCCAGGGUGCAAUGCAGCCUGUUGGGACCGAGGACCGCGCUUCGGCUAGGAUGCUGGCGUAAUGGUUGUAAGCGACCCGUCUUGAAACACGGACCAAGGAGUCUAACAUCUAUGCGAGUGUUUGGGUGUCAAACCCAUACGCGUAAUGAAAGUGAACGGAGGUGAGAACCCUUAAGGGUGCAUCAUCGACCGAUCCUGAUGUCUUCGGAUGGAUUUGAGUAAGAGCAUAGCUGUUGGGACCCGAAAGAUGGUGAACUAUGCCUGAAUAGGGUGAAGCCAGAGGAAACUCUGGUGGAGGCUCGCAGCGGUUCUGACGUGCAAAUCGAUCGUCAAAUUUGGGUAUAGGGGCGAAAGACUAAUCGAACCAUUGGAAUUCUACUAGGUGGUUAAGAGGCGUAUAAAAGGUGCGUCUAGUCCAGUGUAAUGGGCGAAAUCUCCAAAUUGCGGGGACAUCCUUAGAGCUUUUAGUACUAAGCCGGCACUCGAAAGAUGUCGGUGGCCAGGGUAAUGACCUCGGGUAUAGUAAAAACCUAAAAGAUUGGACGAUCCGCAGCCAAGCUCCUCUCGGGCAACCGAUUGCGAGAAGGUUCAUCGACUAGACGGAGGUUGGUGCUCUAAUCGUUAGAGUGCUUAAGGUAUAGUCAGUUCUACGGGAAACCGUACCAGACAGACAAAAGCACAUGUGUUUACACCUUGCUCCGCAAGCGCUGUGCCUCGAGCUGUCUGGCAGUAUAUCCCUUCACCGGGUGUGCUGGUGAGUGAUUGUAGCAUCAAUGGUGCUGCGUCACGAACAAAUGCUAGUAGCUGGUUCCUGCCGAAGUUUCCCUCAGGAUAGCAGUGUUGAAUUCAGUUUUAUGAGGUAAAGCGAAUGAUUAGAGGCCUUGGGGGUGAAACACCCUUAACCUAUUCUCAAACUUUAAAUAUGUAAGAAGUCCUUGUUACUUAAUUGAACGUGGACAUUCGAAUGUACCAACACUAGUGGGCCAUUUUUGGUAAGCAGAACUGGCGAUGCGGGAUGAACCGAACGUGAAGUUAAGGUGCCGGAAUAUACGCUCAUCAGACACCACAAAAGGUGUUAGUUCAUCUAGACAGCAGGACGGUGGCCAUGGAAGUCGGAAUCCGCUAAGGAGUGUGUAACAACUCACCUGCCGAAUGAACUAGCCCUGAAAAUGGAUGGCGCUUAAGCGUAUUACCCAUACUUCACCGCCAGGGUAGAAACGAUGCCCUGGCGAGUAGGCAGGCGUGGAGGUCAGUGACGAAGCCUUGGGAGUGAUCCCGGUAGACCCC